UGGUGAUGAGGAUAGUUAUUGCACACUAAUUUUACCAAUAGAAAGGGCAUUUUCUAGCCUUGAAGGAAUAGACUGUGUAAUCUAUGUCAUUAGAAUCGAAUGCUUAUCCUCUUGAAAAUCCUGCAUAUGAAGGAUUCUCUCCUAUUAUUCUAUUUAACAAGUGCAUUUCCAGGCAUUAUUUGAAGUUAAGUAACGGCUGAGUCUUUUUUUCUGAAAUGUCCAUACUGGUAAUAAUAAACUAUAUAUUUCUCUUUAUGAAAAUAGAAAAGGUGUUGAUGGAACAAGAGUGGCUUAUUCCAAUUGGUGAUUAAUUCUGCAACUGUAGACACAUGUAAACAUCAGCUGGUGUUUAAUUGAGGGUUAAAAAAAAAAAAAAAAAGCAUUACAGUGGGUAAAAUGGAGAUCUAGGGGGGGCGGGGCCGGGCGGCCAUGCAAGCAGGCUGCAAGACACCAUGGCUCCUGAGGAAUUCAACUAAAAAUGGGCACAUACCCACUUUACUCAGCAUGGAUCACCCUGGAAGUUCAUGGUACGGGGUCCUGGAGUGUCCCGGUGCAGCUGGAGCACCUGAUUUCGGGUGAAUCUGGGUCCUGGUGAGAUGCUCCGGGGCUUGGAAUCUGAGGCCUAUCCGGGAGGGGAGUGGGGCGGACGGCCGCUGCCUCACUCUCUGAUCCGGCUAAUGAACAGCACAAUUGUGGCCGCCCCGGCACCGUUCACCCCCCCUCUGGACCGGCGGGGACUAUCCCGGUCCCCACCAGGCACAUAAAUACCUGCAGUGCCCCUGGGCGACUCAACGCCGACAACUAAAGGCUACCACGCGGACCCAACAAAAUGGCCGACAGCGACGCAUUUAGCUAACAGGCCAUCAGAGAAGAACCUCGCAUGGCGCGCUGAACCUCACAACACACAGCGAGAGUCAAGACAGCCUCUGGAGUUAUUCUGCAAUGGCAACCCCCCAGCAGCAGGCGUGUGCCUACCCCAACUGUGCACACCCCACCGGAGCUCCCUAUAACUAAGACCACAGACUAACACUGAGUGAGUACCCGGAAAGAUCAUCCACACACAACAACUCCAUCACUCCGCUACCCGCACCUGGACACUGUAGCCAAUAAAGCACCACACCCGUACUCACUUACCGACCGGGUGGUGGGAACACGGCGAUGCAUGGACACUUUGCCCUGCAGCGGGUGCUCGGGACUCAAAGGACUCUGGGGUGCCUGUGCCUGUGCCGGAAAGCGGGAUCCCUACUGGAGCCAUUCCUGAAGCCGACAGCUGCCGCAUGACGGAAGGCGACUAAGGCGCACACCACAGGACUCAUCACCGACAGCCUUAACAGAAGACACCCUGGCUGUAGUAACCACUAAACUGACUUAUCUGCUGCCAACAGUUGAGGUUACAGUACAUGUUGGUUUCGACACCUUGCUUAUCGCUGUCAAUAACCCAGUAAGCCACAGUCUGCCUGGUGGUACAUUACCUAAGCGAGUACCUUAACUAAGCUAUUCUUCUAUAAAAGCGCCCGUAUACACAUCAGUAAUCUAUACACUUAAAUAAGUGCGCAUUCAGUCUCUGGUCCCCAGCAGACCCCUAGCGUAAUCCCUUAGAAUGAGCGAUGAUUGUACUUAAAUAUUAGCAACAUGAUUUAAAGAGCCCAAGUAUACUAAUAUCUAUUCUUAAAGCGAGCCAGGUAAUCACUGUGCGUACCCUGCUUUGCCAACACUUAUGAGCUCUCUCCACUGUGACACCUAUUGAACCUGUUAAUUAAAACCCAAACUGUGCAGUGAAACAGACAUAUGUUAAUGUUAUGCUCUCUCAUGAUCAAUGUCUAUGUACAUCUGUAAACCUUGCAAUGCACAACAAAAAUAAAGAAUUAUAAAAUGGAGAUCUAAAAUGUGUUCUUUUUUCUGGUUUCCUUUGUAGUAGGCAAGCUUUAAAGGUUGUAAUGUUCCUAUGGAUUUCUAAAAGUAAUUUACUGUAAACUAAGUAUAAUUCACCUAGAGUAAACUGGGAUGUAGGAAUUUGGAGCAUUUGUUUUAUGGGUUGACUGAUGUUUAAUUUUACAGUUUUCCUAUAAUAAAAUCUUACUUGAUUUAAAAAAAAAAAAAU
Non-coding RNA from Pelobates cultripes (western spadefoot toad), 2101 nucleotides. NCBI's taxonomy places the organism in Eukaryota, Metazoa, Chordata, Amphibia, Anura, Pelobatidae. The record is from the annotation of a GenBank genome assembly.